CCUACGGGAGGCAGCAGUGAGGAAUAUUGGUCAAUGGGCGGGAGCCUGAACCAGCCAAGUCGCGUGAAGGAAGAAGGUACUUAGUAUUGUAAACUUCUUUUGUCGGGGAACAAAGGCGGAGACGCAUCUACGGAUGAGUGUACCCGAAGAAAAAGCAUCGGCUCACUCCGUGCCAGCAGCCGCGGUAAUACGGGGGAUGCGAGCGUUAUCCGGAUUUAUUGGGUUUAAAGGGUGCGCCGGCGGGAGAUCAAGUCAGCGGUAAAAUGUAGGGGCUCAACCCGGCCUGCCGUUGAAACUGGUUUUCUAGAGUAGGAGAGAAGGAUGUGGAAGUCGAGGUGUAGCGGUGAAAUGCAUAGAGAUCACGAAGAACUCCGAUGGCGAAGGCAGCAUACCGGCUCCAUACUGACGCUGAGGUACGAAAGCGUGGGGAUCGAACAGGAUUAGAUACCCCAGUAGUC
RNAcentral lists this ribosomal RNA (458 nucleotides) under uncultured bacterium. RNAcentral describes it as "partial 16S ribosomal RNA". It matches the Rfam family "Bacterial small subunit ribosomal RNA", at positions 338 to 795 of the family's 1533-position model. The record is from RNAcentral.